AUUGAGCGCUGGCGGCAUGCCUUACACAUGCAAGUCGAACGGCAGCACGGGGGCGAACCCUGGUGGCGAGUGGCGAACGGGUGAGUAAUACAUCGGAACGUGCCCACGUAGUGGGGGAGUAGCCCGGCGAAAGACCGGAUUAAUACCGCAUGCGACCUACGGGUGGAAAGCGGGGGAGUCGCAAGACCUCGCGCUGUUGGAGCGGCCGAUGUCAGAUUAGGUUGUUGG
This 228-nucleotide ribosomal RNA is filed under the name uncultured bacterium. RNAcentral's name for it is "partial 16S ribosomal RNA". It matches the Rfam family "Bacterial small subunit ribosomal RNA", at positions 30 to 252 of the family's 1533-position model. The record is from RNAcentral.